Molecule: ribosomal RNA, 301 nt
Filed under: uncultured bacterium
Lineage: Bacteria
Description: partial 16S ribosomal RNA
Rfam family: Bacterial small subunit ribosomal RNA
Source: RNAcentral
CAGUAGCCGCGGUAAUACGAAGGGUGCAAGCGUUAAUCGGAAUUACUGGGCGUAAAGCGCACGCAGGCGGUUUGUUAAGUCAGAUGUGAAAUCCCCGGGCUUAACUUGGGAACUGCAUUUGAAACUGGCAAGCUAGAGUCUUGUAGAGGGGGGUAGAAUUCCAGGUGUAGCGGUGAAAUGCGUAGAGAUCUGGAGGAAUACCGGUGGCGAAGGCGGCCCCCUGGACAAAGACUGACGCUCAGGUGCGAAAGCGUGGGGAGCAAACAGGAUUAGAUACCCCUGUAGUCCCUGUCUCUUAUAC